Long non-coding RNA from Saccostrea cuccullata (small rock oyster), 1881 nucleotides. RefSeq lists it as uncharacterized. The record is from RefSeq and is a predicted model, not a curated record. The transcript has 6 exons. Lineage: Eukaryota; Metazoa; Mollusca; Bivalvia; Ostreida; Ostreidae.
UAAAAUAUAAACACGUCAUUGAAUCAAUCUUUUCCAGCAAGCACAUAUUCCUGGAAUUAAAAGUAUGAAACUGGAAGUUAUGUAGAUCUUGAUGAUAACACUAAAUAUUAAAGUCGAUCCCAUGCAAUCAAAAUAAACAUAGGGUUUCUGGGAAAUUAAGGAUUGGGAAUUAUAUUUAUUAAGUUUCAACGAUCGCUCUUUAUUAACAGCGUGGAAUCUGACCAUUUCAAUACAAGCCUAAGGUCACCCGUUUUCAAAAAAUGCAUAUCUGCAUGAUUAAGGCCCCGUGUCUGUCAAAGUCCUGUGAGGUGAGAGAUAAUGGGAAUGUACUUUAAGGAUUCGAACUGGAUGGAAAUUAAAGCAUAUGAGAAACAAUUCCUCUACAGUUCCUAGAGAAGGGAGGAGAGCUAUGGGUUCAAUCAAACCAGAUUGACAGGCGACAGUACCUUUUCCACGAACUGGAGAAGAUUCUCGGAACUCUGUGUUGGUCCUAGUUUUUGGCACAAAACCUGGAGAUGGCCUGGCGACCUUGUCACCUCCCAGUUCUUGUUGACAUACUAAUAUAGAAAGCCACCCCUAAAAUUGCUUGACAAGAGAAGACAACCUUUGUACCUUACCUCUACAGUAAGUGUUCAUAAACAUCCAACCAUCUCAAACCCAGAUUCCAGGCAGUAACUGAAAGAUAGGCCAGCUUUGUUGUGAAAUGGAGCCAAUUACCACAACACAACCUAUACUCAGCAAACGGUGCAGUUCCUCCAUAUCUUCUCUGAAAGAAAUUAAAAUGAUCCUUUGUAGCGGAUUUUUUUUAAAAAGAAGUUUUGUUUUUCAACGAAACAAUGUCAAUCAGAUGCCAUCGAUGACAAGGAAAGGCAACUAGACCAGUUUAAAUGGAGAAUGUAAAUGGUUCGUGAUGCAAAGGCUGGGAUUUGCACAUCUCUAUGUAACAUAGACCAAUUGACCAAGCAAUAUCCAUUGUUUUGCCACAAACACGUGUGUAUUUUGUCAUUUCUUCUGAUUAAGUGAAGCAAAUUAAAAUAUGCACACCUUUAAAGCAUAGUUUUGUAAUUUUUUCUGUUUGGAAUGGCUUCCUGAGAGCAUUAUUUGAUUGGAUAGCAAACUGGGUCAGAAUUGUUUGUCAUUAAUUUUACUUUUUACUAUUCUAUGUUUAAAUUUUCAACAAUUUAGUUUUAUGGAUAUAUUCCCAAAAAUGCGUUUAAGACUUAAUAAUAAAUGACCUGAUUAAGUUUUACUUACAGUGUAGAUAUCCUUCUUCUUCCCAGAGAAAUUUUUGGCGUAAUGAAGAAAAUUGUGCAGGAAAUGUUCUUUAUACGUUAAACUGGACAGUACUCGGGUAAACCCCUUCUAUUUAUAGACUUUUGGAAAAGUCCAUAAUUCUAUUUUUACAUACACAUCUAUCUACCCCAUGGAAUUUUUGAUCUAUAUAAAUAAACUCUAUAUAAGUAGCAUACUUUCCUAUCCCUGCUCUGGAUAUUUCCUUGAAAAAACUCGAGUGUAACAAUUCUUCGAAAACCAGAGUAAAGCACAGAGUGUUAGAUAAUGCAACAGUUAUAAAAAGGUAAGUUUAGCAAUGCACAAAUAUAUUCCCUUUUAAUUUUUACUAUUACUAACCUUAAAUUUAGGAUAUUUUCCUCACAAGAAGAAAAGUAUAAACGAACUGUGUACUUUUUAUUUAAGAAAAAUGAUUGUUUUCAUGUCAUGCAUUCGCAAAAGGGCAAGGUAACAAAAAAGGCAAGUCAGCGGUUUUUAUGGUUGUUGGGCAAAGGGCACGACACGUGUCAACCAAAAAAAAAGCUUUGAAUAACUUUGCACUACCUUAAUUAAAGUGGGUGAGGCUAUAGGAGGAAUAUAGGCGAAAAUGGG